RNAcentral lists this antisense RNA (75 nucleotides) under Saccharothrix sp. ST-888. RNAcentral's name for it is "ASpks TB sRNA". It matches the Rfam family "ASpks TB sRNA". The record is from Rfam by way of RNAcentral. Lineage: Bacteria; Bacillati; Actinomycetota; Actinomycetes; Pseudonocardiales; Pseudonocardiaceae.
CUUCACCGAGCCGAGCCAGAGCGGCUGCUCCUCGGCGCGGUCCUGGCCGUAGGUGGCGGGCAGCGCCUGGGCCUC